Molecule: long non-coding RNA, 367 nt
Organism: Bufo bufo (common toad)
Lineage: Eukaryota; Metazoa; Chordata; Amphibia; Anura; Bufonidae
Exons: 2
Source: RefSeq, a predicted model, not a curated record
UUGGGGUGACCACCAAUAGAGCAGCCAUUACUUCUCCCAUGGGGGUUUGCUCUCCAGCUUUCCCAGUGGCCUGAAUGGCUAAUUGAUACAUAACUGAGGGAGCGAAAAUGAUGAUCUGUCACCCAGAAGCUUUGCCAUCUCCGUGAACCCAUCAACAACCAUGCAGACGGGAACUCCACCUUCAAAGGUUGGAAAAAUUUAGGUAACUUUCUAGCAGCGCCUCCCCUGUCCACAGGUUGUGUCUGGUAUUGCAGCUUCACCCCAUUCAUUGAAUGCAGUACCAGACGCAGCCCAUAGUUGAACUGUUUCUAGAGGAAAUAUCGUAUGUAAAGGGAUUGUCCAAGAUUAGAAAAACAUGGCUGCUUUC